CAAAUCUGGUUAGGUUUUCUACAAAUUAUGAAAUGUAACAAUUAACAACUUUUAUAUAAGGAAAAGAUGGUACAAGAUCUAAAAAAAGAAGCAAUGGUUAAUUACAUUAGUAGGUGGUAGGAAGAUGCAAUGAUAAAGAAACAAACACUUCAUCUUCAUUCCUCUGGGAAAAAAGUACAAAAAGAGUUAGUAUGGUGGGGACUGUGAGAGAGAUAGAGGGGGAAAGCUUUCCGGCAAAGGCAGCAACACCGAACGGAUUGUGGCUUUGGAGGAUGUUGUCAACAAGGCUGUGGAAUCGUCUGAGGCUCGCCAGGCGGAAUUUGCUGAUCAAAUCCAACAAUUAACCCAGGCGGUGGCGGAAUUAAUGGUGACUGUGGGUGGAUCUAAGAAGAAGCAAUCCAAAUACGACUCGCCAUCAGACCCCAGCGACGAGUCAGAUGAAGACUCGGAUUUGUCGGACAGAAGUUCAAGAUCAGGAGUUUCAAAGCGAUCGAGGAAAGGGAAAGAGGGAAAGAAACGAGACCUGGUCCGUGAUUGUAGGAAGAUGAAAUACCAAUUUUCUCAGGGGACGAUGCACAGGGCUGGCUUUACAAGGUUGAAAGAUAUUUUGAAUUGCAUCAAUUCCGUGGGAAGGAUAAAUUGAAAGCUGUGGGAAUCUGCUUAGAGGGAUCACCUCUGUCAUGGUUUCGUUGGAAGGAGGAGAAGUCGCCUUUUGGUUCAUGGUCUCGUUUUAAACGCAAGUUGCUGGAGAGGUUUCAACAAUCACAGGAAGGAAGUGUCAAAGAGCAAUUUCUUGACAUCCGUCAAGAGGGCACAGUUCGGGAGUAUGUUGACAAAUUUGAAGGGUUCGCGGGUCAGUUAUUGGGUGUUCCGGACGACAUAAUGGAGUGCACCUUCAUCAAGGGGCUGAAACCGGAAGUCCGGGCGGAGGUACGAAUUGCUGAACCGGUUUCACUGGAACAAGCAAUCAGGGUGGCAAUUAAGAUUGAUGAUAAUAAGGGGGGGCAGAAUUGUCAAAUCGGGUACGGCAGCAAAAUCAGGACCCGGUUCUGUGUCUAAGGGGGAACACGGGUUCCAAACCAAACCCAAUCAAGUUAAUACUAACCCAAGUCAGCUGAUGAAGAAAGAGAGUGGGCUUAAUUCAACUUUUAAAAGGCUCACAGAAGCAGAAUUUCUUGAUAAGAGGGCUAAGGGGUUAUGUUUUAAAUGUGACGGGAAGUUUGGGCCGGGUCACCGGUGCCCAAACAAAUCGUUGCAAGUUAUGAUGGUCCAUGAGGAGGGUGAUGAUGUGGAACCGGAGGAUGAAGAGGAGGAGCACGCUCACUUUGAUUCCUUGGAGGUUUCGCUGAAAUCAGUGAGUGGGUUAACCCCUCCUCACACGAUGAAGAUAUGGGCAGAAAUCGGAGGCAAUAAGGUGGUGGUAUUGAUAGACUGUGGGGCUACUCACUCGUUCAUCUCCAAGGCCACAGCGGGGAGGUUAGGGUUGGAGAGUUUGGGUAGGCGUAAGGUGGCAGUGACGCUAGGGAACGGGAGGACGGACACAAGUUGGGGGGCUUGCAAGGAGGUCAUACUAAACCUUCCUGAGACUGAAAUAAUUGAAGAUUUUUUUCUAUUGGACCUGGGCGGGUCGGAUCUCAUAUUAGGAAUGACUUGGCUGCAGCGUUUGGGGGAUAUGGUGGUCAAGCCUUGAUGAACAAGAUGACAAUGUAAAGAAGAAGAAACAAAACAGUUUAAGGAAGAAGAAGAUUUCAGUUUUACCUUGGUGGAAUAAGGGUCUUCUUAGUGAAAUUUAGGAGCCAUGUUUCGCCGUUGACAGAGUAAUAGAAGAAGUCGACCAUUGGAAGAUGAUCGGCUCCGACUCUACGAUUCUAACCAGAGGCAGGGGUGUCGACUUGGAAGAAGGAUACACUCAAUCCCUCCAAGGAGAAAAAUAAAGGAACACACACACCAAAGAAAAGAAAGAUUCAAAAAGAAAAAAGUCCAGCAAAACAAAAAUGACAACAGUCUCCAACACCAAAGAAAAGCAACAACUAGAAGAUUUAAAUUCAGAUUUCGAAAGAGUCCAUCCAAAAAGCUAAAGAAAAAGGAUUCACCAGAUAAGAAAGUACGAGUCGUAAAAGAAUUUUAUUCUAAGGAAAAUAGAUGUUCAAGAGUUGUUACCGACUAUCUUCCAGAGAACAAAAAGAAUGUGUACGAUCUUUGGCUACACCCAUCAACUCAUCAACCCACACACCAAAACAAGACGCCCACAGAGCGCCACCCGUGUGGGGGUGGGCUGUAAACAAGCCAUAAUUUCCCUGACCAGUCUAGGUUUGCAGGUUGUAGUUACAACCGUUUCGUAAUUAUCGCCAUGCUACAAUAAAAAUGAUUUAAAUUAGCUAAUUAUUUAGUGUUUCUAGACUAAAAUGGCCACUAUUCCAAAAUAGAAUUCAGGACCGUUCUUCGUAUUUUACAAGUUCUACGUAUUACGAACUAAAUGUUUGCAUUUCAAAGUAUAACAAUGUUGUUUUUUAGAGUUUUUA
Molecule: long non-coding RNA, 2522 nt
Organism: Lactuca sativa (garden lettuce)
Lineage: Eukaryota; Viridiplantae; Streptophyta; Magnoliopsida; Asterales; Asteraceae
Source: RefSeq, a predicted model, not a curated record